Molecule: ribosomal RNA, 253 nt
Filed under: uncultured bacterium
Lineage: Bacteria
Description: partial 16S ribosomal RNA
Rfam family: Bacterial small subunit ribosomal RNA
Source: RNAcentral
GACGAGGGAUCCAAGCGUUGUUCGGAAUUAUUGGGCGUAAAGCGGGUGCAUGUGGCUCUGUAAGUCAGGUGUGAAAUCCCAGGGCUCAACCCUGGAAGUGCAUUUGAUACUGCAGAGCUUGAGUGCUGGAGAGGUAAGUAGAAUACCUAGUGUAGUGGUGAAAUACGUAGAUAUUAGGUGGAAUACCGGAGGCGAAGGCGGCUUACUGGCCAGACACUGACACUCAGACCCGAAAGCGUGGGGAUCAAACAGG